AGAGUUUGGUCAUGGCUCAGAUUGAACGCUGGCGGCAGGCUUAACACAUGCAAGUCGAGCGGUAACAGAUCCAGCUUGCUGGAUGCUGACGAGCGGCGGACGGGUGAGUAACGCGUAGGAAUCUACCCAGUAGCGGGGGAUAGCCCGGGGAAACCCGGAUUAAUACCGCAUACGCCCCACGGGGGAAAGCAGGGGAUCUUCGGACCUUGCGCUAUUGGAUGAGCCUGCGUCGGAUUAGCUAGUUGGUGGGGUAAAGGCCCACCAAGGCGACGAUCCGUAGCUGGUCUGAGAGGAUGAUCAGCCACACCGGGACUGAGACACGGCCCGGACUCCUACGGGAGGCAGCAGUGGGGAAUAUUGGACAAUGGGGGCAACCCUGAUCCAGCCAUGCCGCGUGUGUGAAGAAGGCUUUCGGGUUGUAAAGCACUUUCAGUGGGGAGGAAAUGGUGGCCGUUAAUAGCGGUUGCAAUUGACGUUACCCACAGAAGAAGCACCGGCUAACUCCGUGCCAGCAGCCGCGGUAAUACGGAGGGUGCAAGCGUUAAUCGGAAUUACUGGGCGUAAAGCGCGCGUAGGCGGCUUGGUCAGUUGGGUGUGAAAUCCCCGGGCUUAACCUGGGAACUGCAUUCAAUACUGCCAGGCUAGAGUAUGGGAGAGGGUAGUGGAAUUCCACGUGUAGCGGUGAAAUGCGUAGAUAUGUGGAGGAACACCCGUGGCGAAGGCGGCUGCCUGGCCCAAUACUGACGCUGAGGUGCGAAAGCGUGGGUAGCGAACAGGAUUAGAUACCCUGGUAGUCCACGCUGUAAACGAUGUCAACUAGCCGUUGGAGGACUUGAUCUUUUAGUGGCGCAGCUAACGCGAUAAGUUGGCCGCCUGGGGAGUACGGCCGCAAGGUUAAAACUCAAAUGAAUUGACGGGGGCCCGCACAAGCGGUGGAGCAUGUGGUUUAAUUCGAUGCAACGCGAAGAACCUUACCAGGUCUUGACAUCCUGAGAAUCCUUUAGAGAUAGAGGAGUGCCUUCGGGAAUUCAGUGACAGGUGCUGCAUGGCUGUCGUCAGCCCGUGUCGUGAGAUGUUGGGUUAAGUCCCGUAACGAGCGCAACCCUUGUCCUUUGUUGCCAGCACGUAAUGGUGGGAACUCAAAGGAGACUGCCGGUGACAAACCGGAGGAAGGUGGGGACGACGUCAAGUCAUCAUGGCCCUUACGACCUGGGCUGCACACGUGCUACAAUGGCCGGUACAAAGGGCAGCAAAGCGGUGACGUGGAGCCAAUCCCAUAAAACCGGUCGUAGUCCGGAUUGGAGUCUGCAACUCGACUCCAUGAAGUCGGAAUCGCUGGUAAUCGUGAAUCAGAAUGUCGCGGUGAAUACGUUCCCGGGCCUUGUACACACCGCCCGUCACACCAUGGGAGUGGGUUGCACCAGAAGUAGCUAGUCUAACCUUCGGGAGGACGGUUACCACGGUGUGAUUCAUGACUGGGGUGAAGUCGGAACAAGGUA
RNAcentral lists this ribosomal RNA (1499 nucleotides) under metagenome. RNAcentral's name for it is "bacterial SSU rRNA". It matches the Rfam family "Bacterial small subunit ribosomal RNA". The record is from RNAcentral.